GAAUGCAACCUACCCAGGAAGCUUCUUCCAAGUGGUAUGUCAACUCAGGUGUUGUGGAUUUUAAUGAUGGUCUGUUAGUACUUUAUUGAGGAUGUGCUCACGCAUACACACUUUAGUAAAAGAUUUUUAAAGAUGCUGACAAAUGAAUCCCUGUGAUUUGGAAGGCAUUCUGCCCUCUAGUCAAAAGGUAGGCCUGUCUUACAUGAUAGGACCUAUUAUAUUAUCAUCUGUACCCCUAUUUGAAAUGAAAUUUGUACAAAUUGUUUAUUGCUUGAAUUUCCAAAGAACAUUAUUGUAGUGCUCUUCCCUCACCUCCUUUUUUUUAACCUUCACCUGAUAAAAUGCAGUGAUUGAGGCAUAAAAUAUAUGGCCUGUGGCUUAGGAAUUGUCAGUGACUUUGUGAAGAGUCAAACUGAACUGAUGGCACAAAGAGGGAUUUUUCUCUCUUGUCAUCUAAGU
RNAcentral lists this long non-coding RNA (459 nucleotides) under Bos taurus (domestic cattle). RNAcentral's name for it is "long non-coding RNA NONBTAT025805". The record is from RNAcentral. Lineage: Eukaryota; Metazoa; Chordata; Mammalia; Artiodactyla; Bovidae.